RNAcentral lists this ribosomal RNA (464 nucleotides) under Vreelandella stevensii. Its description in RNAcentral is "partial 16S ribosomal RNA". It matches the Rfam family "Bacterial small subunit ribosomal RNA", at positions 338 to 795 of the family's 1533-position model. The record is from RNAcentral. Lineage: Bacteria; Pseudomonadati; Pseudomonadota; Gammaproteobacteria; Oceanospirillales; Halomonadaceae.
CCUACGGGUGGCAGCAGUGGGGAAUAUUGGACAAUGGGCGAAAGCCUGAUCCAGCCAUGCCGCGUGUGUGAAGAAGGCCUUCGGGUUGUAAAGCACUUUCAGUGGGGAAGAAAGCCUUGGGGCUAAUACCCUCGAGGAAGGACAUCACCCACAGAAGAAGCACCGGCUAACUCCGUGCCAGCAGCCGCGGUAAUACGGAGGGUGCGAGCGUUAAUCGGAAUUACUGGGCGUAAAGCGCGCGUAGGCGGUCUGAUAAGCCGGUUGUGAAAGCCCCGGGCCCAACCUGGGAACGGCAUCCGGAACUGUCAGGCUAGAGUGCAGGAGAGGAAGGUAGAAUUCCCGGUGUAGCGGUGAAAUGCGUAGAGAUCGGGAGGAAUACCAGUGGCGAAGGCGGCCUUCUGGACUGACACUGACGCUGAGGUGCGAAAGCGUGGGUAGCAAACAGGAUUAGAACCCGAGUAGUC